CUGAGCUGCAGUAGGAAUAAAGCCAAUUGGACAACCACACUGAGUCCAGUAGCAGUAUGGUUUUCUCACUACCACUACAAGGCCAGGAGGCCUUGGGCAAAUUAGCAUAGGUGUGCAGCAGAGAAAAUUGACUGUAGUGGCUACUAAGGGGUAAGGAAGGACAGAAUGAGAACUAUGGAAGAUCAGAGGCAGGGAUUGAUUCUAUGACAGGAGCAAGUGAAAUAUUGAAGAGGCUAACUACAAGUUCAAGGCUGGUCCUUAGAGGGAGUUGGGAAAAAGAGUGAGGAAGAAGACAGGAGUUCCAAAGCAUUACUGUUGCUGGAUAAUUCUUUAGUGAACAACAAAGUUAUUCCCUCUGAACCAUCAAGAAAUGGAAUAACUCGCUAAGAGGAAAUAUCAUGCUAUUUUCUGGGCAUAUUGCUGAAAGAUGAAAUGCACAUAUGAUAUUAGAGAAAGUGAGCCUCAACAUGGAAAUGGAAUACAAAUCAAAACAUAAAUAGGAAAAAUAAAAUUGUAUUUGAGAAAGGAGAGCAAAAUGAAAGGCAUAAAAUACAAAUGGAAUAACUA
Molecule: long non-coding RNA, 567 nt
Organism: Phascolarctos cinereus (koala)
Lineage: Eukaryota; Metazoa; Chordata; Mammalia; Diprotodontia; Phascolarctidae
Source: RefSeq, a predicted model, not a curated record